CCUGGAGGCCUGAGAGAGCAGAUCUGGGGGCACCUCCACCAUGGCCUGGACCCCUCUCCUCCUCACCCUCCUGGCUCACUGCACAGGCUCUGUGGCCUCCUAUGAUCUGACCCAGCCACGCUCAGUGUCAGUGGCCCUGGGACAGACAGCCAGGCUCACCUGCUCUGGAGGUCAAUUAGAGAAGAGAUAUGCUGCCUGGUACCAGCAGAAGCCAGAUCAGGCCCCUAAGCUGGUCAUCUAUAAGGAUAGUGAACGGCCAUCGGGGAUCCCUGACCGAUUCUCUGGCUCCAGCUCUGGAAACACAGCCACCCUGACCAUCAGCAGGGUCCAGAAUGAGGAUGAGGCUGACUAUUACUGUCUGUCAUCAGAGAGUGACAGCAGUGCUUCUCACAGUGACACAGGCAGAUGGGGAAGAGCUGCCCCCAAGCCCCACAUGCAGACUCAGCCUCCCCAGAACCCUGGGCUGGGCCUGGCCCUGAGCUCACCUAUGCACUUCUACACAGUGCCCUUGGCCUUGGGAGACCCCUGCCCUGUCAGCUGCAGCUUCACACUGGCCUUCUCUGCAGAAGCCAGGCCAGACCCUGUGCAAGUCAUUUCUAGAGAUACAACCUUGGUCUCAGGGAUCCCAUCUGGGAAAAUGACCAAGGCUGUGGGGUUUUAA
Choloepus didactylus (southern two-toed sloth) is the source of this 661-nucleotide non-coding RNA. NCBI's taxonomy places the organism in Eukaryota, Metazoa, Chordata, Mammalia, Pilosa, Megalonychidae. The record is from the annotation of a RefSeq genome assembly.